RNAcentral lists this ribosomal RNA (245 nucleotides) under uncultured Actinomycetales bacterium. RNAcentral's name for it is "partial 16S ribosomal RNA". It matches the Rfam family "Bacterial small subunit ribosomal RNA", at positions 88 to 334 of the family's 1533-position model. Lineage: Bacteria; Bacillati; Actinomycetota; Actinomycetes; Actinomycetales. The record is from RNAcentral.
UGCUCGAGUGGCGAACGGGUGAGUAACACGUGAGUAACCUGCCCUUGACUUUGGGAUAACUUCAGGAAAUUGGGGCUAAUACCGGAUAGGAGCUCCUGCUGCAUGGUGGGGGUUGGAAAGUUUCGGCGGUUGGGGAUGGACUCGCGGCUUAUCAGCUUGUUGGUGGGGUAGUGGCUUACCAAGGCUUUGACGGGUAGCCGGCCUGAGAGGGUGACCGGCCACAUUGGGACUGAGAUACGGCCCAG